RNAcentral lists this ribosomal RNA (740 nucleotides) under uncultured bacterium. Its description in RNAcentral is "bacterial SSU rRNA". It matches the Rfam family "Bacterial small subunit ribosomal RNA", at positions 8 to 796 of the family's 1533-position model. The record is from RNAcentral.
AGAGUUUGAUCCUGGCUCAGGGUGAAUGCUGGCGGUAUGGAUAAGGCAUGCAAGUCGAGCGGGUUUAGACCCGCGGCAGACGAGGUAGUAACACGUAGGAACGUACCCGGAAGUCGGGCAUAACCGGCCGAAAGGUUGGACAAUUCCCGAUAGUCUCGCAAGAGUAAAGAUCCGUCGCUUCCGGAGCGGCCUGCGCAAUAUCAGCUAGUUGGUGAGGUAAUGGCUCACCAAGGCUACGACGUUUAGGGGAGCUGAGAGGCUGACCCCCACCGAUGAGACUGAGAACGGCUCAUACCCCUACGGGGGGCCGCAGCCAAGAACAUUCGACAAUGGGCGAAAGCCUGAUCGAGCGAUACCGCGUGGUGGAUGAAGUGCUUCGGCACGUAAACACCUUUUAUGAGGGAGGAAGUUAUUGACGUUACCUCAUGAAUAAGGGGCUCCUAACUCUGUGCCAGCAGGAGCGGUAAUACAGAGGCCCCGAGCAUUACCCGGAAUCAUUGGGCGUAAAGAGUGCGUAGGUGGUCAUAUUAGUCGCCCGUUAAAACCCGGAGCCCAACUCCGGAUCUGCGGGCGAAACGGUAUGACUCGAGGGCGUGAGAGGUGAAUGGAACUCAUGGUGUAGGGGUGAAAUCCGUUGAUAUCAUGGGGAACACCGAAAGCGAAGGCAAUUCACUGGCGCGUUCCUGACACUCAAGCACGAAAGCGUGGGUAGCGAACGGGAUUAGAUACCCUAGUAGUCC